RNAcentral lists this ribosomal RNA (225 nucleotides) under uncultured bacterium. RNAcentral's name for it is "partial 16S ribosomal RNA". It matches the Rfam family "Bacterial small subunit ribosomal RNA", at positions 109 to 334 of the family's 1533-position model. The record is from RNAcentral.
CGUAACACGUGAGGAACUUGUCCCGGUCUCUGGGAUAACAGUUGGAAACGACUGCUAAUACCGGAUGACGUCGGAACUUCGCAUGGAGUACUGACGAAAGGGUUACUGGAUCGGGAGAGCCUCGCGGCCUAUCAGCUUGUUGGUGGGGUAAUGGCCUACCAAGGCAUCGACGGGUAGCUGGUCUGAGAGGAUGAUCAGCCACACUGGGACUGAGACACGGCCCAG